GAGUUUGAUCAUGGCUCAGAUUGAACGCUGGCGGCAGGCCUAACACAUGCAAGUCGAACGGUAACAGGAAGAAGCUUGCUUCUUUGCUGACGAGUGGCGGACGGGUGAGUAAUGUCUGGGAAACUGCCUGAUGGAGGGGGAUAACUACUGGAAACGGUAGCUAAUACCGCAUAACGUCGCAAGACCAAAGAGGGGGACCUUCGGGCCUCUUGCCAUCGGAUGUGCCCAGAUGGGAUUAGCUAGUAGGUGGGGUAACGGCUCACCUAGGCGACGAUCCCUAGCUGGUCUGAGAGGAUGACCAGCCACACUGGAACUGAGACACGGUCCAGACUCCUACGGGAGGCAGCAGUGGGGAAUAUUGCACAAUGGGCGCAAGCCUGAUGCAGCCAUGCCGCGUGUAUGAAGAAGGCCUUCGGGUUGUAAAGUACUUUCAGCGGGGAGGAAGGGAGUAAAGUUAAUACCUUUGCUCAUUGACGUUACCCGCAGAAGAAGCACCGGCUAACUCCGUGCCAGCAGCCGCAGUAAUACGGAGGGUGCAAGCGUUAAUCGGAAUUACUGGGCGUAAAGCGCACGCAGGCGGUUUGUUAAGUCAGAUGUGAAAUCCCCGGGCUCAACCUGGGAACUGCAUCUGAUACUGGCAAGCUUGAGUCUCGUAGAGGGGGGUAGAAUUCCAGGUGUAGCGGUGAAAUGCGUAGAGAUCUGGAGGAAUACCGGUGGCGAAGGCGGCCCCCUGGACGAAGACUGACGCUCAGGUGCGAAAGCGUGGGGAGCAAACAGGAUUAGAUACCCUGGUAGUCCACGCCGUAAACGAUGUCGACUUGGAGGUUGUGCCCUUGAGGCGUGGCUUCCGGAGCUAACGCGUUAAGUCGACCGCCUGGGGAGUACGGCCGCAAGGUUAAAACUCAAAUGAAUUGACGGGGGCCCGCACAAGCGGUGGAGCAUGUGGUUUAAUUCGAUGCAACGCGAAGAACCUUACCUGGUCUUGACAUCCACGGAAGUUUUCAGAGAUGAGAAUGUGCCUUCGGGAACCGUGAGACAGGUGCUGCAUGGCUGUCGUCAGCUCGUGUUGUGAAAUGUUGGGUUAAGUCCCGCAACGAGCGCAACCCUUAUCCUUUGUUGCCAGCGGUCCGGCCGGGAACUCAAAGGAGACUGCCAGUGAUAAACCGGAGGAAGGUGGGGAUGACGUCAAGUCAUCAUGGCCCUUACGACCAGGGCUACACACGUGCUACAAUGGCGCAUACAAAGAGAAGCGACCUCGCGAGAGCAAGCGGACCUCAUAAAGUGCGUCGUAGUCCGGAUUGGAGUCUGCAACUCGACUCCAUGAAGUCGGAAUCGCUAGUAAUCGUGGAUCAGAAUGCCACGGUGAAUACGUUCCCGGGCCUUGUACACACCGCCCGUCACACCAUGGGAGUGGGUUGCAAAAGAAGUAGGUAGCUUAACCUUCGGGAGGGCGCUUACCACUUUGUGAUUCAUGACUGGGGUGAAGUCGUAACAAGGUA
RNAcentral lists this ribosomal RNA (1499 nucleotides) under metagenome. RNAcentral describes it as "bacterial SSU rRNA". It matches the Rfam family "Bacterial small subunit ribosomal RNA". The record is from RNAcentral.